GAUGAACGCUGGCGGCGUGCUUAACACAUGCAAGUCGAACGGAAAGGCUCCUGCUUGCCGGGGUACUCGAGUGGCGAACGGGUGAGUAACACGUGGGUGAUCUGCCCUGCACUUCGGGAUAAGCCUGGGAAACUGGGUCUAAUACCGGAUAGGACCACAUUUUGGAUGGUGUGGUAGAAAGUUUUUCGGUGUGGGAUGAGCUCGCGGCCUAUCAGCUUGUUGGUGGGGUAAUGGCCUACCAAGGCGUCGACGGGUAGCCGGCCUGAGAGGGUGUACGGCCACAUUGGGACUGAGAUACGGCCCAGACUCCUACGGGAGGCAGCAGUGGGGAAUAUUGCACAAUGGGCGCAAGCCUGAUGCAGCGACGCCGCGUGGGGGAUGACGGCCUUCGGGUUGUAAACUCCUUUCGCUAGGGACGAAGCGCAAGUGACGGUACCUGGAGAAGAAGCACCGGCUAACUACGUG
Molecule: ribosomal RNA, 465 nt
Filed under: uncultured bacterium
Lineage: Bacteria
Description: partial 16S ribosomal RNA
Rfam family: Bacterial small subunit ribosomal RNA
Source: RNAcentral